Molecule: small RNA, 115 nt
Filed under: Rhodanobacter sp. ANJX3
Lineage: Bacteria; Pseudomonadati; Pseudomonadota; Gammaproteobacteria; Lysobacterales; Rhodanobacteraceae
Also listed under: 1 other name
Description: t44 RNA
Rfam family: t44 RNA
About the family: This family consists of a number of bacterial RNA genes of between 135 and 170 bases in length. The t44 gene is found between the map and rpsB genes in all species in the full alignment apart from Shigella flexneri.
Source: Rfam by way of RNAcentral
CAAUACCCAACCAAACGCCACACACGUAUCGGCACCGCCUUCGGGGUGCUGCGCUCGAUCCCAUCAUUUAAUGGGACGUUCGCGGUCGAAGUCGGGGGUACGUGGAGGUCCCAAC